Caenorhabditis elegans is the source of this 144-nucleotide non-coding RNA. The record is from Ensembl. Lineage: Eukaryota; Metazoa; Nematoda; Chromadorea; Rhabditida; Rhabditidae.
GUGUGGGUUUUUGCAUGUUUUUUUUUGCCAUUCGCCACCCCUCCCCGUCCUUUUUAUCUAACUUUAUUCUUGCUAGUCUGGCAAGCGUAAAUUGCGAUUUACUCGGUGAAGAAUCAUGUAUUCACGGCUUGCUGCAUCAACUCU